UACAGAGGGUGCAAGCGUUAAUCGGAAUUACUGGGCGUAAAGCGUGCGUAGGCGGUUAUUUAAGUCGGAUGUGAAAUCCCCGGGCUCAACCUGGGAAUUGCAUUCGAUACUGGAUAGCUAGAGUUCGGCAGAGGGAAGCGGAAUUUCUGGUGUAGCGGUGAAAUGCGUAGAUAUCAGAAGGAACAUCAGUGGCGAAAGCGGCUUCCUGGACCAGAACUGACGAUCAGGCACGAAAGCGUGGGGAGCAAACAGG
RNAcentral lists this ribosomal RNA (253 nucleotides) under uncultured bacterium. RNAcentral describes it as "partial 16S ribosomal RNA". It matches the Rfam family "Bacterial small subunit ribosomal RNA", at positions 524 to 776 of the family's 1533-position model. The record is from RNAcentral.